GGCCCUGUAGUUCAGUGGCAGAACAGAGGACUUUUAAUCCUUGUGUCGAAGGUUCGAAUCCUUCCAGGGUCA
Molecule: transfer RNA, 72 nt
Filed under: Anaerolineaceae bacterium
Lineage: Bacteria; Bacillati; Chloroflexota; Anaerolineae; Anaerolineales; Anaerolineaceae
Description: tRNA-Lys
Rfam family: tRNA
About the family: Transfer RNA (tRNA) molecules are approximately 80 nucleotides in length. Their secondary structure includes four short double-helical elements and three loops (D, anti-codon, and T loops). Further hydrogen bonds mediate the characteristic L-shaped molecular structure. tRNAs have two regions of fundamental functional importance: the anti-codon, which is responsible for specific mRNA codon recognition, and the 3' end, to which the tRNAs corresponding amino acid is attached (by aminoacyl-tRNA synthetases). tRNAs cope with the degeneracy of the genetic code in two manners: having more than one tRNA (with a specific anti-codon) for a particular amino acid; and 'wobble' base-pairing, i.e. permitting non-standard base-pairing at the 3rd anti-codon position.
Source: RNAcentral